This 103-nucleotide microRNA precursor is filed under the name Marmota monax (woodchuck). The record is from RNAcentral. Lineage: Eukaryota; Metazoa; Chordata; Mammalia; Rodentia; Sciuridae.
AGUAGAAUAGCUGGAUCAAAUGGUGGGCCCAUUCCCAGUUUUCCAGGGAAUCUCCAUACUGCUUUCCAGAUUGGCUGCACCAAUUUGCAGUCCCACCAGCAAU